Molecule: ribosomal RNA, 465 nt
Filed under: uncultured bacterium
Lineage: Bacteria
Description: partial 16S ribosomal RNA
Rfam family: Bacterial small subunit ribosomal RNA
Source: RNAcentral
CCUACGGGGGGCAGCAGUAGGGAAUCUUCCACAAUGGGCGAAAGCCUGAUGGAGCAACGCCGCGUGGGUGAAGAAGGUCUUCGGAUCGUAAAACUCUGUUGUUAGAGAAGAAAGUGCGUGAGAGUAACUGUUCACGUUUCGACGGUAUCUAACCAGAAAGCCACGGCUAACUACGUGCCAGCAGCCGCGGUAAUACGUAGGUGGCAAGCGUUAUCCGGAUUUAUUGGGCGUAAAGGGAACGCAGGCGGUCUUUUAAGUCUGAUGUGAAAGCCUUCGGCUUAACCGGAGUAGUGCAUUGGAAACUGGGAGACUUGAGUGCAGAAGAGGAGAGUGGAACUCCAUGUGUAGCGGUGAAAUGCGUAGAUAUAUGGAAGAACACCAGUGGCGAAGGCGGCUCUCUGGUCUGUAACUGACGCUGAGGUUCGAAAGCGUGGGUAGCAAACAGGAUUAGAUACCCCUGUAGUC